UACGAAGGGGGCUAGCGUUGCUCGGAAUCACUGGGCGUAAAGCGCACGUAGGCGGCUUGUUAAGUCAGGGGUGAAAUCCUGGAGCUCAACUCCAGAACUGCCUUUGAUACUGGCGAGCUUGAGUCCGGGAGAGGUGAGUGGAACUGCGAGUGUAGAGGUGAAAUUCGUAGAUAUUCGCAAGAACACCAGUGGCGAAGGCGGCUCACUGGCCCGGUACUGACGCUGAGGUGCGAAAGCGUGGGGAGCGAUCCGG
Molecule: ribosomal RNA, 253 nt
Filed under: uncultured bacterium
Lineage: Bacteria
Description: partial 16S ribosomal RNA
Rfam family: Bacterial small subunit ribosomal RNA
Source: RNAcentral